RNAcentral lists this small RNA (78 nucleotides) under Arabidopsis thaliana (thale cress). Its description in RNAcentral is "ATSL249790". The record is from RNAcentral. Lineage: Eukaryota; Viridiplantae; Streptophyta; Magnoliopsida; Brassicales; Brassicaceae.
AUCUGUGAAGAUGUUCUCCGCUCAGAACAAGAUCAAGAAGGACAAGAAUGCUGAGCCAACAGAAUGCGAGGAGCAAGU